CACGGGGGGAGCAAGCGUUGUUCGGAAUCACUGGGCGUAAAGGGCGCGUAGGCGGCUCGGUAAGCGUGUGGUGAAAGCCUGGGGCUCAACCCCGGGUCGGCCAUGCGAACUGUCGAGCUGGAGCACUGUAGAGGCAGGCGGAAUUCCGGGUGUAGCGGUGGAAUGCGUAGAGAUCCGGAAGAACACCGGUGGCGAAGGCGGCCUGCUGGGCAGUAGCUGACACUGAGGCGCGACAGCGUGGGGAGCAAACAGG
Molecule: ribosomal RNA, 253 nt
Filed under: uncultured bacterium
Lineage: Bacteria
Description: partial 16S ribosomal RNA
Rfam family: Bacterial small subunit ribosomal RNA
Source: RNAcentral